CAACCUGCCGAUGACUCGGGGAUAGCCUUUCGAAAGAAAGAUUAAUACCCGAUGGCAUAGUUCUUCCGCAUGGUAGAACUAUUAAAGAAUUUCGGUCAUCGAUGGGGAUGCGUUCCAUUAGGUUGUUGGCGGGGUAACGGCCCACCAAGCCUUCGAUGGAUAGGGGUUCUGAGAGGAAGGUCCCCCACAUUGGAACUGAGACACGGUCCAAACUCCUACGGGAGGCAGCAGUGAGGAAUAUUGGUCAAUGGACGAGAGUCUGAACCAGCCAAGUAGCGUGAAGGAUGACUGCCCUAUGGGUUGUAAAUUUCUUUUAUACGGGAAUAAAGUGAGGCACGUGUGCCUUUUUGUAUGUACCGUAUGAAUAAGGAUCGGCUAACUCCGUGCCAGCAGCCGCGGUAAUACGGAGGAUCCGAGCGUUAUCCGGAUUUAUUGGGUUUAAAGGGAGCGUAGGCGGACGCUUAAGUCAGUUGUGAAAGUUUGCGGCUCAACCGUAAAAUUGCAGUUGAUACUGGGUGUCUUGAGUACAGUAGAGGCAGACGGAAUUCGUGGUGUAGCGGUGAAAUGCUUAGAUAUCACGAAGAACUCCGAUUG
RNAcentral lists this ribosomal RNA (594 nucleotides) under uncultured Bacteroidota bacterium. RNAcentral's name for it is "bacterial SSU rRNA". It matches the Rfam family "Bacterial small subunit ribosomal RNA", at positions 122 to 715 of the family's 1533-position model. Lineage: Bacteria; Pseudomonadati; Bacteroidota. The record is from RNAcentral.